Molecule: microRNA precursor, 84 nt
Filed under: Bombyx mori (domestic silkworm)
Lineage: Eukaryota; Metazoa; Arthropoda; Insecta; Lepidoptera; Bombycidae
Description: mir-2807 microRNA precursor family
Rfam family: mir-2807 microRNA precursor family
Source: Rfam by way of RNAcentral
UUAACUCAAAUUUGUGUGGAGUUCGAAUGUUUGCCUACGUUUGCCGCUAGGGGCGCUGUUCCAACUCCAUAGAAAUUUGAGUUA